Molecule: ribosomal RNA, 503 nt
Filed under: uncultured bacterium
Lineage: Bacteria
Description: partial 16S ribosomal RNA
Rfam family: Bacterial small subunit ribosomal RNA
Source: RNAcentral
AUUGAACGCUGGCGGCAGGCUUAACACAUGUAAGUCGAGCGGGGUGAUGGUGCUUGCACUAUCACUUAGCGGCGGACGGGUGAGUAAUGCUUAGGAAUCUGCCUAUUAGUGGGGGACAACAUCUCGAAAGGGAUGCUAAUACCGCAUACGUCCUACGGGAGAAAGCAGGGGAUCACUUGUGACCUUGCGCUAAUAGAUGAGCCUAAGUGGGAUAAGCUAGUUGGUGGGGUAAAGGCCUACCAAGGCGACGAUCUGUAGCGGGUCUGAGAGGAUGAUCCGCCACACUGGGACUGAGACACGGCCCAGACUCCUACGGGAGGCAGCAGUGGGGAAUAUUGGACAAUGGGGGGAACCCUGAUCCAGCCAUGCCGCGUGUGUGGAGAAGGCCUUAUGGUUGUAAAGCACUUUAAGCGAGGAGGAGGCUCUUUUGGUUAAUACCCAAGAUGAGUGGACGUUACUCGCAGAAUAAGCACCGGCUAACUCUGUGCCAGCCGCCGCCGUAA